CUGGUGCUUCUCUUUUUGUGGUGGUGGGGUGGUUUGGUUGCCUACUUUUUGGAGGAAUUUGAGAGAUGAGAAGAUGGAGGAGCUUGUUAGGCUGUUAGAUAAGUAAUGUGGGGGCAUUUUCACACCGGGCUCGAGUGGGGUGGCCUGUGGGAUGCAGGAGCACACUCGGGGUGGGCGGCCCGCAGAACCCAUGGAUUUAGGGCCCGUGUGAGGCGGAACCCAUGGAUUUGGGGCUCACGAGGAGGGUUCGGCCGACGACCUAAUCCAUGGAUUUAGGGUUUGGGCCAUGAGAUAAAGGGACUAGUUCGCCAUGCUCUAUCAGUUCGAGCUUUUAGAGCAUGUGGUUAAUUGUUCUGCAUCAAAUUAGUAUUAGAGCGAUAGGUCUCAUGUUUGAGACUCCUCAUCGGGGGUGAUUAAUGCAGGAGCAUUUUCACACUAGGCUCGAGUGAGGUGGCCUAUGGGAUGCAAGGGCACACUCGAGGUGGGCGGCAUGCAGAACCCAUGAAUUUGGGGCCCGUGUGAGGCGGAACCCAUGGAUUGGGGCCCAUGAGGGAGCAGAACUCAUGGAUUUGUGACUCACGAGGAGGGUUCGACCGAGGACCUAACCCAUGGAUUUGGGUCUUGGGCUAUGAGAUAAAAGGAUUGAUUCGGCAUGCUCUAUCGGUUCGAGCUUUUAGAGCAAGUGGUUAAUUAUCCUACAUUAAUAAGCUCCAAGGAUGCUCUCCAAUAGGGGGAAGAGGGAUUCGAUGGCCUAGAAAUUCGACAAAUCAGGCAGGUUUUUUGUUCGCUCAUUUGAUAAGGUGCUUCAAAAGAUCCCGAUGGAAGAGUGGGCGCUUCAAAAGACCCCGAUGGAACAAUGCCAUCAUCACACGGUCAAGUCUUGGUUCUAUGGUGCUCCUCCUAAGGUUGUGGCUUUUGUGUGGUUAGUGGGGAGGAAGAAGAAUCCAUUAAUCAUCUAUUCAUUUAUUACCCCCUUGCUCAGAAAGUGUGGGAAGGGUGCUUCGAAAUCUUUAAGAUGGUGUGGGUUGCGGGUACAAUUUAAGAUCUUCUUUGGGCUUGGCAGGGAGGUGGGGUUUGUAAACCAAGAUCGAAUGGUAUGGAGGCUAGCUUUUAUGGCAGCUCUUUGGGAUUUGAUGGCCUGGAAAUUCGACAAAUCGGGCAGGUUUUUUGUUACUAAUGAGGUGCUUCAAAAGACCAUGAUGGAAGACUGCCAUCAUCAGACGGCCAAGUCUUGAUUCUAUUGUGCUCCUCCUAAGGUUGUGGCUUUUUUGUGGCUAGUGGGGAGGAAGAAGGUGCAAACUAUUAAUAAUCUUCAAAAUAGGUUGAUGGUGCUUCCCAAUGUUUGCAUAAUGUGUAUGGAAAACAUAUAAUGCAUUAAUCACCAUUGAUUGUCCCUUUGCUCGGAAAGUGUGGAUUGUCACGUAGGGAAGAUUUGUGGAUCACAAACCAUGAGUCCCUAUUAUACCUAGUCAAGUUGUGAGGACACUAUACCUAUCCUCUGGCCAAGGAUCACAUAAUUCCUCUUAUUAAAAAAAAAAAAAAAAAGGAAU
This is a long non-coding RNA of Magnolia sinica, 1550 nucleotides long. RefSeq lists it as uncharacterized. The transcript is spliced from 2 exons. Lineage: Eukaryota; Viridiplantae; Streptophyta; Magnoliopsida; Magnoliales; Magnoliaceae. The record is from RefSeq and is a predicted model, not a curated record.